Molecule: ribosomal RNA, 33 nt
Filed under: uncultured Thelephora
Lineage: Eukaryota; Fungi; Basidiomycota; Agaricomycetes; Thelephorales; Thelephoraceae
Description: partial 28S ribosomal RNA
Source: RNAcentral
GUUUGAUCUCAAAUCAGGUAGGACUACCCGCUG